Molecule: small nuclear RNA, 330 nt
Filed under: Rattus norvegicus (Norway rat)
Lineage: Eukaryota; Metazoa; Chordata; Mammalia; Rodentia; Muridae
Description: 7SK RNA
Rfam family: 7SK RNA
About the family: 7SK was discovered as an abundant small nuclear RNA in the mid-70s but a possible function has only recently been suggested. Two independent studies have found that 7SK RNA binds the CDK9/cyclin T complex (known as elongation factor P-TEFb).
Source: Rfam by way of RNAcentral
GGAUGUGAGGCGAUCUGGCUGCGACAUCUGUCACCCUAUUGAUCGCCAGGGUUGAUUCGGCUGAUCUGGCUGGCUAGGCGGGUGUCCCCUUCCUCCCUCACCGCUCCAUGUGCGUCCCUCCCGAAGCUGCGCGCUCGGUCGAAGAGGACGACCUUCCCCGAAUAGAGGAGGACCGGUCUUCGGUCAAGGGUAUACGAGUAGCUGCGCUCCCCUGCUAGAACCUCCAAACAAGCUCUCAAGGUCCAUUGUAGGAGAACGUAGGGUAGUCAAGCUUCCAAGACUCCAGACACAUCCAAAUGAGGCGCUGCAUGUGGCAGUCUGCCUUUCUUU